This 253-nucleotide ribosomal RNA is filed under the name uncultured bacterium. Its description in RNAcentral is "partial 16S ribosomal RNA". It matches the Rfam family "Bacterial small subunit ribosomal RNA", at positions 524 to 776 of the family's 1533-position model. The record is from RNAcentral.
UACGUAGGUGGCAAGCGUUGUCCGGAAUUACUGGGUGUAAAGGGCGUGUAGGCGGGACUGCAAGUCAGAUGUGGAAUUCCCAGGCUCAACCUGGGGGCUGCAUCUGAAACUGUGGUUCUUGAGUGCUGGAGAGGAAAGCGGAGUUCCUAGUGGAGCGGUGAAAUGCGUAGAUAUUAGGAGGAACACCAGUGGCGAAGGCGGCUUUCUGGACAGUAACUGACGCUGAGGCGCGAAAGCGUGGGGAGCAAACACG